RNAcentral lists this ribosomal RNA (253 nucleotides) under uncultured bacterium. RNAcentral's name for it is "partial 16S ribosomal RNA". It matches the Rfam family "Bacterial small subunit ribosomal RNA", at positions 524 to 776 of the family's 1533-position model. The record is from RNAcentral.
GACGUAGGGCGCGAGCGUUGUCCGGAAUUAUUGGGCGUAAAGAGCUCGUAGGCGGUUUGUUGCGUCGGCUGUGAAAUCCCGAGGCUCAACCUUGGGUCUGCAGUCGAUACGAGCAAACUAGAGUGUUGCAGGGGAGACUGGAAUUCCUGGUGUAGCGGUGAAAUGCGCAGAUAUCAGGAGGGACACCGGUGGCGAAGGCGGGUCUCUGGGCAACAACUGACGCUGAGGAGCGAAAGCGUGGGGAGCGAACAGG